RNAcentral lists this ribosomal RNA (120 nucleotides) under Escherichia coli. RNAcentral's name for it is "partial 23S ribosomal RNA". It matches the Rfam family "Bacterial large subunit ribosomal RNA", at positions 1 to 110 of the family's 2925-position model. The record is from RNAcentral. Lineage: Bacteria; Pseudomonadati; Pseudomonadota; Gammaproteobacteria; Enterobacterales; Enterobacteriaceae. RNAcentral also lists the same sequence under 1 other name.
GGGUUGUGAGGUUAAGCGACUAAGCGUACACGGUGGAUGCCCUGGCAGUCAGAGGCGAUGAAGGACGUGCUAAUCUGCGAUAAGCGUCGGUAAGGUGAUAUGAACCGUUAUAACCGGCGA